Molecule: long non-coding RNA, 2960 nt
Filed under: Salvia miltiorrhiza (redroot sage)
Lineage: Eukaryota; Viridiplantae; Streptophyta; Magnoliopsida; Lamiales; Lamiaceae
Description: long non-coding RNA (SMIL_LNC007717)
Source: RNAcentral
UACGCUCUCCUAUACAAAGUGCGUUUGUGCAUUAGUGGAAAAGUAUUUCACCUGAGGUAAAUUUAAAUUUGAAAACUUGCUUGUGACAAAAUACUUUGUUGGUGGCAAGUAUUUUGUUUUACAAAUACAUAUCAUGUACAUUAUACACAUAAUAUUAUGUUUAUCAAAUUGCAUUGUAGCCAAUUGAUGAAUUAAUUCAUUUUAUAAUGUCUACGAAUUAUUUAUUUAUUUAUAUAAACAUAUUUUGUUCUUAUAUUUUUUGUUUUUUAUAUUAUUUGUAUUUUUUCUGAUUUUAUUAAUUAAUUUUGGGCUCUUUAAAUAUGAACUUUUAACAAUACUACAGUUGAUUUUUAAGAGCCCAAAAUUAUUAUUUUAAAUGAUGAAUAUUAAUUUUGUUAUAUUGAUGCUUUAGUGUUAUUUUCUCGAAAUGAGAUUGACUUAAGUUAUUUGUUGUACAAUCUAAUAAUAAUAAUAAUAAUAAUAAUAAUAAUAAUAAUAAUAAUAAUAAUAAUAUGAUGAUGAUGAUGAUGAUGAUGAUGAUGAUGAUGAUGAUGAUGAUGAUGAUGAUGAUGAUAAUUAUUAUUAUAAUAAUUAUUAUUAUAUAUAUUAAUAAUAAUAAUAAUAAUAAUUAUAAUAAUAAUAAUAAUAAUAAUUAUUAUUAUUAAUAUUAUUAUUAUUAUUGUUAUUAUUAUUAUUAUUAUUAUACAAUACUAUUAAAUUUGAUAAUAUACUCAUUAAGUUGAUAAUAUUGUUAUUAUACAUUAUUUUAAAUCAAAUACUAACAAUUAAAUUAAUAUUUUUUUGUUAUUAAUUAAAUUAACUCAUAAAUAAUGACGUUUUGAUAUUUUUACAUAAUUUAUAAUUUUAAAAAGAAAUAAAUAUAUCGUGACCCCUGCAUCGUUCGAGAGGUCGCCUAAUUAAUAUGUACAAAUAGAUUAAUUAUUGUUUUAUAUAUUCAGAUAUAUAUAUUUCACAAUAAAAUCUAUAUAAUAUACUACUCCCUCCAUCCACUAAUUUAUGACCUAGGGGAGGAAACACGGGUUUUAAGAAAAAGUGUAUUUAGUUGAGUGGAGAAAGGGACCUAAAGUGUAUUGUUUAUUAGUUGAGUGGAAAAAAAAUGUAUUGUUUAUUGGGACCCAUCAAUCAAAAAAUGUAUAAAGAGUUACUAAAAAUGGGUAGGACAUAAAUUGGUGGAUGGACCAAAAAGGAAAGUAGGUCAUAAAUUAGUGGACGGAGGGAAUAUAAAAGAGGAGUUUUUUGCCUCCAUUUUUUCCCUCUUUUUUCUCUCUCUUCUCCCACAAUUUUUUUUCACUAUUUUUUAUAUAAUUUAAUUCUUUUUUAAAUAUCGUCAAAUUUGAUUUAUGAACCAAUAUUUAAUAUGCAUUUUAGAUUUAAGUUCGAGAUAAAAUACUUAAUAUGGUAUAAAAAUCAUCAAAAAAGAUUUUAAAACGAAUAAGUUACGAAAACGUUAAAAUAUAUUAUUUCCUCUCUUUUUGUUAAAAUUUUACAAAUUUUUAUUUUGGUUUGUGUAUGAAAAUAUUUAUUUAUUUAUUUAUUUAUUAUCACGUGUAAUGCUCUAUAAUAAUAAUGUGUGAUGUUAAUUUUCAUCAUCAAAUAAUUUACAAUUAUUUAAUAACUAUAAUUAUCAUUACUUUGUACAUAGUUGAAAAUUUAGGUUUUUAAAUUCAUAAUUUUAUUGAGCAAUUGAUAUGGAUUAUUUGAUUUUAUUUUUAAAACAUAUUUUAGAUUUAUUUAUAUUUUAAUUCCAUUUAAUAAUUAUAUUUAUUUAUUUAAGCAUGUCGUUUAAUUUUGAAAUAAUCCUCAUUGGGCUUAUGUCCGGGGCUGUUUUCAUAUUAAGGGCGGGAGUGACUUUGCUUUUGAAGCAGAAUUGUUAGCUAUCAUUAUUGCCAUCAAUAUUGAUCUGAUCAUGAUCAUGAUUGGUUGCAUCUUUGGGUUGAAGCGGAUUCUAUGUAUGUGGUGCAACUUCUGGAAUCUCGUUCCAAGGAUGUUCCUUGGCGUUUUAUGGCUUAUUGGAUGCAUACUCUUCGGCUUCUUCAGGACUUUAAUUUGAUGGUUACCCAUAUUUAUAGAGAGGGUAAUAAGCCGGGUGAUAUUAUGGCUAAUGGGGAGAGGCAGGAAGGCUGGUGGCCUUUUGCCAUUGAGGAGAUUCGUCAUGCGGUUGCUCAGGAUAUGUCAACUCAUAGUCAUGUUAGAGUUGUUCAUUAAUUGUGGGUUGGUGUGUUUGAGUCCCGCGGCAUGUUCGAUUUUUUAGGCUAAGUUGGGUCUGAUGCCGGUUAGUCGUUUGUUGGAUGGUCGGUGUUUUUGUCUUUCUUUACGUUUCGUCUUUUGGUUUUUUCAUUGGUCUUUGUUAUGGGAGAAGAGAGCCGGGAUUUCUUUAGGGCGAUGGUUCGGCCGGAGCUCUAGAAGUUAUCUCAACUCAGCUUUCUUGCCCAUCUAUUUCGUUCUUUUCUUUGUAGGCGAGUACUCUUUUUCUUCCCUCUUUGGGAGAUUUGAAUGAGGCUCGGCCCUUAGUCUGCUCUCCUAUGCUGUCAAGGGUUGUCUAGGUUCCUUUUUCCCUUUUUUUUUUAAUAAAACCGUAUUUUAAUAAUAAUUUCGAUAUUCGUCGUGCAUCGCACUGAUGGGUGUACUAAUUUUGAUAAUAUAUUAAUAGGGGUAAAGUGAUUGGUAGAACAUGCAGCACAGCGUGACUGAUGAUGGCAUGGGUUCGAUUUAUGGCGAAACUACUCAAUGACAUAAGUUAAUUUAUAUUUAAAAAGUAUUAGUAUAUGACAUACUUUUAUUUAUAUAUUUAUUUUAAUUCUAAUACCUCAUAAAUUGUUAGUGAUAUUAUUAAUUUUAUAGAUUAUAUAAAAAUUAAAAUUUGAUUAUUUUUUAUUAAUUAUUUAAAAUUAAAAGAAAAUAAACAAAUCAAACAUUGAUAGUUGAUAUUUAAGAUGAUC